GAAGUUUUAGAUGGUAAGUUGCAGCAGCUUGAGUUUGCUGCGAAUCACGAGUUUUGGUAAAAAGUGCAACACCACGAGCAAAGGCAAAGGAACCAGUUCCUCCAACGAUCUUCAAUUCUUCUUUGUCUUCAUCAGUCUGCACGCUGAGGCUACCCUUAUGAUCUUUGCUGUCAAAGCUCAGAUACAUAACAUUCAAUGCCGAUUGCUGAAACAUGUCAGCAAGGAUCACAAAGCUCUGUGCUUUUCCAACCACACGAGAACUCUUCUCUGGCCCCUCUGUCAGCACACGCGGAAAGAUCAAAGCCCCAGCAUGUUCCCUAGGUACGAGGUGAGUGUUUAAGGUUGAUGUCUGAGGGUGUUGGACGUACAAGGAUAGAUCCAACCAUGGCCUUGCAUGGCUCUUGUUGUGGGACACAGGUGAUAGCACAGCCAAAACAAUUACUGCUAUUGUUGCUAUGGAAACUCCAACACAGAAUAUCAUUCUUCCUGACAUUAUCUGCUCCUUCUUGUGAUGAGCUCAAAUGGCUGCUACAUCUGUUUUCCUUUUAAACUGGUUGAAAAACAAAAAUAGUGUUCUUGGCAACCUAACCCAUUUUGCAUUUUGUUACCUAAACCAAUAUGAAAAAUUCUUCAUGCUUGUCCUGAAAUUGGUUAUAUAUACUAUACUAUCUAUUUUAAUUGUAAAAGUUCAAGGGAAGUAAGUGUUUUUGUUGUUAGCUUUUUUUAAGUUGGCGUUACAAAUAGGUUUGGUUUGGUACAUCUCACUCCCUAUUUACCAAAUCAGAGGAUUUAAAAAAACUUUACUAUUUUUCCUAUAGAACAAUCCAAAUAUUACCCAGAAAGAUAAUGCAAAAAAAAGCAGAGGAUUCUCAUUGUACUCAUAAUAAAGAAAUCUCAAAAUCAAACUGCUGUCAAUUUUUACAGAGUACUCCAAAAGAAUCGUGAACCCCAAAAAAAGCUUUUUAUAUAGAAACUCAGCAUUGUCGUGAUUGAGUAACCCUGUUACACCAUCUGAAAAAAAAACUUCCACCACUAAAAAGUUCUGUUGGCCCUUUGCAUUACAGCGGCAAAAAUGGUAAAAUUUUGAAAGCAAUUAGCUUCCAAAAGAGAGAAAUCUUGAUCAAGCAUUCCACUGUGAGGAUCCCUGUACCUGCAGAAACAAAAAAACCAGCAUUCUUCCAGCAGCGUGGGAACAUCAAAGUUGUAGAAUGUAAGAGAACUAACAAAAGUUAUUUUCUUAUGCAACUCAGACACAUCAUGUGUGCAAAAUAGACAAUUUUGUUCUUUAUGCUGGUUACUUCGUUCUACUACCACAAUUCCUCCUCACACACACACAAUAUAUAAUGACAUGAUAUUUACAUAACUUGUAAUGUAAAUUACUAUUAUUAGCACCAUAUAUUUUUUCUAUUAGGAGGGUCGAUAUCUUUGUUUUCAAGCUUUGCUUUUUUGGAAAGGGGAUCUAGAUUUACAAGACUAUGUUACUUAAAUCCACUCUCUCUCUCUUUUUUUUUUUUUUAAUGUUUUUUUACAGUGGAGUCCCAUUCUUUUACUUAUAUAUUCUUUAUUUGUAAAAAACCAUGUAAUAGUUUUGUAUUUUUUUUAAUUUUUUUAAUACAUUUGUCCGUUUUGGUAUAAAUUAAAAAAUAAAAUAUUCAUUUUUUAAUAAAUUUAGUUCUUACUUUUUUUUAUUGAUAUUAGUUUCUCAAUAUUUUUUUUCUGUUGUUUUAGUUAGGGGUGACAAAGUGGGUUGGGCCUGAUGAACCGACUUGCUAGCCUAUAAUUAUUUAGGUGGGGGCUUCUUCUUCCUGCACCCCUACAUUUUUCUUCCUACACCCCCACAAUUUUCUAAAUCCUGACACUGGCCUUAAUAUUUUAUUUGGAAAAGGACACCGUGGUUACCGGAAAUAGGGAUCUCGGAGUGUGCUACGGAUUCAUCAAUCCGGAACUGAUUUUUUUUUUCUGGAUGAGGGGUGUUCUGGAAGCAAUUUUUGCAUAAAUUAUUGAUUUCCAGAUUGCUGAAUCCGGAAGCCUAAUUCUGUUACGGAUUCGUGGAUCCAGAAUACUAUUUUUUGAAUUACAGAUUUCUGAAUCUGGAAUGCAUAUUUCUGUUACGGAUUGGUGGAUCCGGAAUGCUUUUUUUGAAUGAUGGAUUUUUGAAUGUGAAAUGCAUAUUUUGAAUUACGGAUUGGUUGAUCCGAAAUUUUACCAGAAGUGUCUAUCCGAAAUUUUUCCAGAUUCCAUAAGUAAUUGAAGUAUUGUUGAUAUUUUACUUUAUUUUGUAAAAUAUUAAAUAUUUUUUUAUUAAAAUAUUAAAGUUUGAUUCAUUUUAAUUGAUUUUCCUUACAUUUUUAUUGUCUAGAAAGUAAUAUCAAUGACUACAAUCAAGUCAAUAGAUCCAAAAGAAAAAAAAACAUUAAAAAAAAAAAAUUGAUUUUUUUUAAAAGUGACCGACCAACUCGUCAACCCAGCUUACGAAAAACAUAUUACUAAUUUUAACUUGUAUAACCUUAAAUAGUCAGCUCAAUCCAACGACCCGUUUUGGUGGACUAGUGACACGUCGCACCAAAACAGUUAGACUUUGUAGUUUUUUACUCUCUCUCAUUAACUUAUAUCAUUUUAAAAAACUAGUUAAUUAUUGAUUUUUUAACAUAAUUUAUAUUAUUAUUAACUUACACUCAUAUAUUCAUGAUUUUUUUUCUUCUUAAAUACAACUUAAUUCAAAUUGUUAGGAUGUUUGAAAGUCUAAUUAAUUCCACUAUGUAUCUUUUUCUUUCAAGACGAUUUAUUGUAAAAAGCUAUAGAUUACAUUUGGAAAAUGAAGAAAAGAUAAAUAAUGCUUAUUUAGUUUUGAAACUAUUAAAAAAAAAAGAGUUUGUAUAACAGCAUAGUAAUAAUCCACGUAGCUGAAUGUUAGCCAUAUAAACUAAGAUCCGAAGGAGAAUUUUGUGAAGGAAUGAACUGUGAAAGUUGAUCUGAAGUAACAGUAGAAAGGAAAUUCCAUUGAAGAAUCUGCUAAACUAAUCUAAAACCAUAUAUCUUUCUUCCUCAUUUAGUGUUGUGUGGUGAGGGUAACAUGCUGAAAGUCAGAAGUAGAUGUUUGCAGAAGGUUCAUUCAUUGCAUGUUGUUUUAAAAAUGGAACCAUAUUCUACCUGCCAUUCAUUACACACACUGCAAUCUGCAAUCAGAAUGGAAACUAAUCCCAUGGCCCAAAUUGCUGAUGCGAUUCAGUUACAUUACAUUAUGAUUUGCCAUGACAGUGGUGGGAUUUUGCAAGUGGGGUGACCCACUUCUUCUAACUCUUCAUCAUUAUGCUUCUUUUGUUCUUCUGUCAGUGUGUUGUAGAUUUCACAUCGAUAAAAAUAUUUUAUAGUAUAUAACUAGGUGUAAAACUCAACUUAUAACCUUAUGAACUGAUUUUGUAAGGUGGAGUUAUACUUAAAUGUCACUUCUUAUGAAUUAUUUUUUAUCAGCAAAAAACAAUCAAACUAAAUAGGUUCAUUUAAGGGGUUGUUCAACCCUCAAAAGAGACAAAGAACACCUUUCCACAUACAUAACAAAAACCAAAAUGAAACCUCCUACUGCCUAUCCCAACACUACAAACUAAAAAAAAACAGAAAGGUCAAAGACCAACCCCAUCACCUUUAUAGUAACAUUAAAUCUAAUGCAUACAUAUUAAAGAUUAGGCACUAGUCAAAGAACGAGAAACUCACUGAAAAUAUCUUUGAAGAGAUCCAACACCAAACCUUAACCUGUGCUAGAAAAAAAACUUUAGUAUGAUCAACUACUCAUUUUUUAAACAAACAAAUAUUCCUAUGAGUCCAAAUAUUCUUUAACCAACUCGAUCCAAAUUAGUUCAAAAAGUUUCAUAUUGAGAGCAAGAUGGAAUUGAUUCCCUUAUCUUUGUUGUCCAAUACUAUAAGAGUGUGGCUAGCUAGCUUUGUUUGUGAAUUAAUUGAUCCCACAUGUAUAAAUACUAUACUUAUUCAGUUCCCACUCUCCAUCUUCUCAUUUUCUCUGUCCUUCCCUACACUCUACAAGUGCAUAUGCAUAUGUUCUGUUAUCUGCUACUUUGAUACUUGCUAUCAUUGAAAUCUGACAUGCAUGCCAUGCCCUCUAACAAAGGGUCUUCGUGGUCUAAACGCUAACCCUUUUGAAUUCUUUUCAAAAGAUACCAUUAUAGCAACCAUAAUCUGGAACAAGAUAACUGUGAAUAUGAUUAGGAUUCAUUUUGCUGCUUCUUUCAAAGUAUUCCAAAUUUAUUAGUACCGGUCAAUGAAGAUGGAAAGUAAGAAUCCAUGAGCCACUUAGCAAUGAGCACAAAGGCAUGAAGAAUGGUUCUAAACCCAAAAGGGGAAAGUGAAAAAGGUUGGAAUGGCAGAGAGCAGGUGUCUAUGUUCUAUGGUAGUGUAGGAUGUGUGAUGUGAACCUAUUGAGGCCUAUUGAGGCCAAAUGAGGAAAGAAGGUAUGGGGUGUUGACAGGUGUUCAACAUAACCUACCUUUGCUUCUUCCUUUAAUCACCACUCAAUUCCUUUCUACUUCUUUCCACAAACAUAUAUUUGGUUCUCCAUCCCCUUCCAUGGCCCAUAUAACAUUAUUUCUCUCAUCUCUAUCAAGUUGUAAUAUAAAACAAUUUAAUAUUUGUUUGUGAAUAUAUCACAAUCCAUAUAUGUUACUUUCAGAUCAAAAUUCUCCAAAAGUAAAAGAUGAUUUUUCCUUCUACUUUUUAGGAGUGUCAACAUAUAAAGACUCAGAAAAAUGUUACUUUGACAACUAUAUAGUCAAAAUCACCGGUUUACAACUUUUUAUGCAUUCACAUUUCAAUAAAAGAUUAUUUCACGUUCUAUUUUUAGGAGUUGUAAUAUGAAGCAAUUCAGUAUGUUAAAGAUCCUACAUCGAUUGUAGAUAAAGACAUUUCUGUGUGAGUACAAACCUUAUAAGCUAGAAUUAGAAUCAUUUAAAGUCUAUUUUAACGAGAGUUUGUUGGCCUUAUCAGAUCACUCGAUAUUGAACCAUCCAUAAAUAUACUCCCACCUACGAGUUUUUAGAUCUCGAACGUGAGAGAAUUCUAUACCGAUUAAAGAUAAAGACAUUUACUGUUUUGUUAUCAACAUAUACUGACUCUAUUCAAAAUUCACUUUUGAAAAGUACUAAUUUUUAACUUUAGAAACACAAAUAGGAAAAUAAAUUAUAUAAAAAUAAUAAGUCUUUAUAGAAAAGAGAAAGAAAUAGAAGAAAAACAAAAAGGUAUUUAGAUAAAAAAAAUGUGUGUCGUUGAGAGAUGUUCUCUAGUUUCCAUGCUUUGGGGGCAAGAUGUUGUCAUUUUUUACUCAUUGUCAUGCACUUGCGUCUUUUUCAUAGAUCACAACCGCACAACUAUAACUUCAAAUUAUAUCCUAAAAUCAUUCAUGAAACUCAAAACUAUACAUAUUUUUAUUGCAAAAAUUUAAAUUAGUAUAUAUGUGGUGGAGUGUUGGGAAUAUUUCAAAAGUUUAACUUUUUUAAAAGAAUAAUAUCUUAAAAUUGUUGAGAAAAUGACAUUUUUUAAAGUUUAGAAGCCAAAGUUGACUUUAAAUUUAUAAUGAAAUUUAGUAAAAUCCUUACUGUCCAUUCUCAUAGCUAUAUCUCACUUUUUAUUAUAUUUUUUAAUCAGAAAAAAGAAAUAUUUUAGAAAUCCAAAUUAUAUACAUAUAUAAUUAAGACUAAUACUAAUUUUAAUUUUUUUAUUAAUUUAAAAUACUUGUAAAAGAAAGACGGAGCUGAUGUAUAAUUAAAACUCAAAAUAAGAGUUUUGAAAGUAAAAUAGAAUGUAUAUGUAUAACUAAAAAUAUUACCAUCACUAAAAAAAAUUAUUAAAUAAAAAUUAAUUUUAGAGACAAAAAAAACAGUUAUUGUAUAAUUAAAUUAGAUAUUAUUUUAGAUACUAAAAAAAUUAUUAAUUUUUAAAUUAGUUUCUCUUAUUAUAAAUAGUUUCUAAAAUUAUUUUUUAUUUAAUAAUUUUUUUUAAUGUAAAAUUAUAUAUAUAUAUAUAUAUUUAAAGAAAAGUACAACGUUAAUCAUUUAAAAAAAAUAGUUUAUAUAGUAAAUUGUGAUGUGCCUAAAAGUACUACAGCAAUAAGUUUGGUGGGCAAGUAAGUUUUGCAGAAAAAGAUAUGAAAUCCCUUUCUUCAUUUGUUAUUGUGCCUUCUUCCUCAUCAAUCAAUUAAAGGAAUGACUUUGAUUUAGACCUUUAUAAAUUAGUUCAGAACAGUCAUAAAAACUUUACCUUAACACAAAUCCAAACCAAAAUUAUGUUUUAUUCUUAGGAAUAUCAUGAUUUUGAUGUUUUAUUUUUUAAGGAAGCUAUAUCAGUUCUUAACUAAAUGAAGAGAUAAACAGAAGAGAUAGAAAAACAGUGUCGUCAGUUUCCACUGCUACACUGUCUCUUGAUGGUGACUUCCCAACCAUGCAUGCGUGUACAUACUCAUGUGACCAUGGAUUAUCUAAAAAUAAAUAUAAUAAUAAUAAUGAUAAUGAUAAUACUAUUUAAUAAUUUUCUUGUAUUCUCACAUCAUUGCAAACACAUAUCCAAACACAAAUAAUCUUACAAAACCGUCCUGGAAAACAAUAUAUAUCCACCAUUGAAACAAACAAACGGUAAAUAUGAUAAACUAAUCCUCACACAUUAUAAUUGGUAGCCUUGAACUUCUAAAUUCAAGAAAUAGAAAAAAUACUUAACAUGAAUUGAUCUUAGUGUAUAUUGGUAAAUUACAAGGUGUAUUAAAAAUUUAUGAACCACUUGACUAACCUUGGACCCAUGAAACUAAAGGUCCCUACUCCAAUUGAGCUAGUAUUUGAGUGAUGGACCCCACAUAUCACUCACACUCCCAGUAAGUGAUGGAAGAAGAUAGAUGAGAAUCACAACAACUAUGUGUAGUAGCAUCACAUGACUAUUAACAUUUGGAAAUAAUAUGAUGAUCUCACACACGAUUUACUCAAAUCCCAUUGCACAUGGGUUCAAGCAAAGCAAUACCAUAUCACUGAGUGAUUGUUGCAUAAAUCUUUCAAGGAGAGGGAUCUUGUAGUGCAUGUUAGCUGCAUUACAUGUUAUCAAUUAAUUCACACCGUUAGUGUCUCAAAUAUCACACACUAGUGAUAAAUCCCAUUGUUUUGACAAGUUAUUUGAAAUUGAAUAUCCCCUAUUGUCUUCCUUCGAUUCUAGUUGUUUUUUCUGGGUGUCUGAGAAGGGUACUUAUAAAAGUACUCUGAUGCUCAACUUAGUUGGGUGUUACUUAAAUCGUCUAGUUCAAAAUUCAGAAUCACAAUACCUUUCAUCAUGAUGAUCCUUUCUUUCUUAUACUACUCUAUUAGGUCUUGUUAUAUUAGAAUGACUUAAACUUGACCCAAUGGAUGUUAACAUUGCUUUAUAGUCUCUAAUUGGGAUUAACAUCCUUAACUCACGAUAUGACGUGGAUUCUGGUCAUUGCCAAAGGGUCGCCCAAGUGGCUGAUCAUUUGGACUUACGGUUUUGUGGUAUAAUACCCAUGUUUAUAAAUUAAGUAGUGAGUCUAAAAUCUGCGUGUGUGACACUUUGAGAAAGCGGAUUAUAUUAGCAUGCAUGGUUUUAUAGGAAGUACAUGAAUGGUUGUUAGGAUGUUAUAAUGUCCUUUUGAGGAUGUCUUAAUUAUCUCGUGAGAAGCAGUUAGAAAAUUGAGAGUACAUAGAAAGUGUCAUUGCUUUGAUACUACUAUCUAGCUAAUCUAGUGGAAUAUUUUGAGGCUCUUUUACCCAUUCUUUUAGAAUUUUUCCUAUAAAUAGCUGCUCCUUGCUCCAUAGAAAUCUAACAUCCCAAAGUUCCAAACAUGAUUCUCUUCUUCUCUUUUUUUUUUCUCUCUCUCUCUCUCACUUACAUAUGUGAUUUUAUUACUCUCUUUUUUCUUUUAGGAGGAGGUUUAUGGGGGUGGAAAAGGUGAGAGGGAGGCACUGGUUUUGGUAAGGUUGUUGACAGAAGAUAGAGAGCACAGAUGAUGAUAUGCAUAUUACUAUAUAUAGAGAGCAUGAACUGAUCAAUGGUGCAUCUUACUCCUUUGUGCUCUCUAUACUUCUGUCAUCACCUUCACUCUCCAUUUCUCAUUUCCUCUCUCUCUAUAUAUAUAUACCUCCUUUAUCACAAGAACUAGAGUUUCACUGAGGAAAAACUCAUGUAUAAUUUGAUGUUGUUAGAGAUACCACAUCGACUUGAUAUAUUAGAAAAUUUCAUAAUAUAUAAGUGGGUGUAAUAUAUAUGAGAUUGAAUUAGACUUAAAGUCCACAUUAAUAGAUGUUGAUCCUAGAAUUUACCUAACCACUUUUCUCUACUAAUUACAACUGUUACAAUUAUACAAUACAAGGUUUUAAAAAAAAAGUCUAUGGCUAUGAUUAAUGAAGCGUCUGACUGCAACCUUGUUAUAUUUCAAAUUUAGUCAAUAUAUCAACUAAUUAUUUUUUGUUUUUAAAUUUAAUUUUUAUUUAAUGAUUUUCUUAGAACGAGAGAUAUGAAGAUAAUUUCAAUUUGUACAAGGAUAUUAAAUAUUAUUUAAAUUUCAUAAAUAUUUUAAAAAUUCUUAAAACAAAAUUAGAAGAAUUCUACUGAAAAUUUGUAAUGAUCAUUAUUAAGAAGUGAAGUUAAGGAUGUUCUAAUCUUUUGUAGGAUCUCCAACAAUCAUGGUCGUAAUAAGUUGGGGGAAUGGUUUGGGAAUUGAAGCUGAAGUUUUAGAUGGUAAGUUGCAGCAACUUGAGUUUGAGUUUUGGUAAAAAGUGCAACACCACGAGCAAAGGCAAAAGAACCAGUACCUCCAACGAUCUUCAAUUCUUCUUUGUCUUCUUCAGUCUGCAUGCUGAGGCUACCCUUAUGAUCUGGGCUGUCAAAGCUCAGAUACAUAACAUUCAAUGCCGAUUGCUGAAACAUGUCAGCCAGGAUCACAAAGCUCUGUGCUCUUCCAACCACACGAGAACUCUUCUCUGGCCCUUCUGUCAGCACACGCGGA
Molecule: long non-coding RNA, 9004 nt
Filed under: Phaseolus vulgaris (common bean)
Lineage: Eukaryota; Viridiplantae; Streptophyta; Magnoliopsida; Fabales; Fabaceae
Description: long non-coding RNA (PVUL_LNC004772)
Source: RNAcentral